Molecule: ribosomal RNA, 253 nt
Filed under: uncultured bacterium
Lineage: Bacteria
Description: partial 16S ribosomal RNA
Rfam family: Bacterial small subunit ribosomal RNA
Source: RNAcentral
UACGGGGGGGGCAAGCGUUGUUCGGAAUUACUGGGCGUAAAGGGCGCGUAGGCGGAUCUUUAAGUCGGGGGUGAAAGCCUGAGGCUCAACCUCAGAAUUGCCUUCGAUACUGGAGAUCUUGAGACCGGAAGAGGUAAGUGGAACUGCGAGUGUAGAGGUGAAAUUCGUAGAUAUUCGCAAGAACACCAGUGGCGAAGGCGGCUUACUGGUCCGGUUCUGACGCUGAGGCGCGAAAGCGUGGGGAGCAAACAGG